RNAcentral lists this ribosomal RNA (1053 nucleotides) under Triticum aestivum (bread wheat). RNAcentral's name for it is "partial small subunit ribosomal RNA". The record is from RNAcentral. Lineage: Eukaryota; Viridiplantae; Streptophyta; Magnoliopsida; Poales; Poaceae.
AUGUGCCUUGAGUCAUAUGGUGCCUUGGAAAGCUUAGAAAUUUCUAUUGCUAAUAUGGCAGAAUUUAUAGUUCUUCUGGGUGGAUGCGAGCGCAUGUCCCGUAGGCCGUAUGACAUUUGUCUUUACACUGACAAUUUCAUGUUCGGCCGACGCACUGAGAAGCAAAAGCUCAUGAGCUUCUUGUUGGAGAACAACAACCUUCCUGGUGAUCAUGCACUUGCAAUUCUUCCAAUCAUAGGAGGUGUUGGCAUUGGAAAGAAAACCUUGGUUGCUCAUGUGUGUGGCGACGAAAGGGUCCACUCACGCUUCUCAUCUAUUUUGCACUUGAAUGGACACAACCUCUUGACCAUACUUGACCAUGGAAGGACCAUGUUUGGGACGAUGUUGGUAAUUAUUGAAUUUGCUUCUGAUGUAGGCGACGAUGAAUGGAAAAUGUUUCACUCGUUUCUCAUAAGAAUGAGCAGAGGAAGCAAGAUCAUCAUCAUAAGUAAACUUAAAAGGUUAGCCCGGUUUGGAUCAGUGCAGCCUAUUUUCCUAAGUGUUCUGUCUUAUGACGAGUUGAGAUACCUUUUCAAGAAACUGGCGUUCAGGAGUGUAGACCCUGCAGAACAUCCAUGGCUAGUACAAAUAGCAGAUGAAUUUACCAAGGUGUUGUACAUUGUGCCAAGUACACUUCUUGCAACAAAUACACUAGCGGAUGUGUUGAGAAAGAACCUUAAUGUUCGGUUUUGGCUCUGCAUAUUGGACAAGGUGAUAAGAUAUGCCAAAAGAAAUGCCUCCACAUACGGUGUGCACCCAAACAUGCUUUUUGAAGAAGGCCAUCAUGUGGACAUAACAGAUAUUGCGCUGCAUCCACUUAGCGUGAAACGUUAUACAAUUGAUGUUUCAAUUAAGGAGGAGUCACCAAGUGUGACAAUGGGCGAACUUCUAGCAGAUCCAAGUGUUAGACCAGAAGGUGACUUCAUUCUAAUUGCAUGGGAAUCAAGGAUACCGCCUCAUAAUUUAGUUCAUCUUUUUGUCACAAGUCGUACUCAGGGUACACAUGAAGGGUAG